CACGUAGGGCGCAAGCGUUGUCCGGAAUUAUUGGGCGUAAAGAGCUCGUAGGCGGUCUGUUGCGUCCGCUGUGAAAACUCGGGGCUUAACCCCGAGCCUGCAGUGGAUACGGGCAGACUAGAGGUAGGUAGGGGAGAAUGGAAUUCCCGGUGUAGCGGUGGAAUGCGCAGAUAUCAGGAGGAACACCGGUGGCGAAGGCGGGAUCCUGGGCCAGUACUGACGCUGAGGAGCGAAAGCGUGGGGAGCAAACAGG
RNAcentral lists this ribosomal RNA (253 nucleotides) under uncultured bacterium. RNAcentral describes it as "partial 16S ribosomal RNA". It matches the Rfam family "Bacterial small subunit ribosomal RNA", at positions 524 to 776 of the family's 1533-position model. The record is from RNAcentral.